CAUGUGUUAACUUGGUAGAUCUGUGCUGUUCAAAUCCUGCAUGUUCCAAAGACGGUUCUGGCCUCUAACCCACUCCUGAGAUCAGCAUCUAGACCUGCCUGUUCCUCAGUGCCUAUUGAUGAAAGGGGAGAAAAGCAAGAGCUACAGCAAAGGCCCCGUGUGAGUGGAUCCUUGUGUCAGUCUCUUUGCCGUUUAUUGAACAGUUUCUCGAAAUCUUCAGAGCAGUUGAAGAGCUAUUUCAUCAAGCACUAUGUUUGCAGAAGCAUACAUCAUUACCAUAGUCUGUCUGGGGAGCCGUCCCUUCUGAUUCGUUGCCACCUUAUUCCACUGUGCUAAGGAGGGUGACACAAAGCACAUUCAUCCUUUGCCCUGUGCUCCAGUCCUAUGUUGACAAAAUGUGCUAGAAAUCAGCAAAGCAUUUACAUUCCGUAGAGGAUUUGAAAACUGAAUGUUUCCAGAUUUAUGUUGUUGUUUUUUUUUCUUGAUACAGAGCCUCACACUUGGAUGAUAUUCACCAGACUUUAUUGGAGUAACAUACACAGGUCUGUGGAUUUCCACAAAGUGAAAAUGUUCAGCCUGCCAAUAUUCAAAUCACGAAGCAGAUCAUUGCCCUUGUGCCUUCUGUACCCCUUGCUAACUACUAUCUCUAAGCUUAUUACAUUCUAACUUCCAUCAGCAGAGAUUCAUUCAUUAUAUUUUUAUGAAUAGAUUAAAAAACAAAUGCAUUUUUCUGUCUGAAAGUUUUUCAUUGCACAUGAUAUUUAUCAGAUUUUCCAUGCUGUUGUACAUUACUAGACAUCACUCAAUCUCAAGCUAUACAAGAGUAUACUACUGUUCAAGUACACCACAGUUUAUAAAUUCAUUGUAUCAGUGACUACUUCAGUAGCUUCAAACGUUGUAGCACUAUGUACCAUGCUUUGAUGAACAUUUCUGUAUAUCUUUUCAUGAAAAAGGAUUACUUCCAUUGGACAUUUGCAGACAAGUGAAACUCUGGGUCACGGUGCAUACAUGUAACUUUAUAACAUGAGUCUUACAAAGUAGUCCACCCAGUUCUCACUAUUAACAAGAUUUGAGUGGUUGGUAUUCCAUGUCUAUCAAUGUAGCAUUGAUGUAUAUGAUUAAUCAUCAUAAAUAAAGUUUUACAAUUUGUCCUGA
Long non-coding RNA from Peromyscus eremicus (cactus mouse), 1155 nucleotides. RefSeq lists it as uncharacterized. The record is from RefSeq and is a predicted model, not a curated record. The transcript has 3 exons. Lineage: Eukaryota; Metazoa; Chordata; Mammalia; Rodentia; Cricetidae.